CUACGUGCCAGCAGCCGCGGUAAUACGUAGGGCGCGAGCGUUGUCCGGAAUUAUUGGGCGUAAAGGGCUUGUAGGCGGUUGGUCGCGUCUGCCGUGAAAUCCUCUGGCUUAACUGGGGGCGUGCGGUGGGUACGGGCUGACUUGAGUGCGGUAGGGGAGACUGGAACUCCUGGUGUAGCGGUGGAAUGCGCAGAUAUCAGGAAGAACACCGGUGGCGAAGGCGGGUCUCUGGGCCGUUACUGACGCUGAGGAGCGAAAGCGUGGGGAGCGAACAGGAUUAGAUACCCUGGUAGUCCACGCUGUAAACGUUGGGCACUAGGUGUGGGGGCCACCCGUGGUUUCUGCGCCGUAGCUAACGCUUUAAGUGCCCCGCCUGGGGAGUACGGCCGCAAGGCUAAAACUCAAAGGAAUUGACGGGGGCCCGCACAAGCGGAGGAACAUGUGGUUUAAUUCGAUGAUACGCGAGGAACCUUACCCGGGAUUGAA
Molecule: ribosomal RNA, 486 nt
Filed under: uncultured bacterium
Lineage: Bacteria
Description: bacterial SSU rRNA
Rfam family: Bacterial small subunit ribosomal RNA
Source: RNAcentral